This 491-nucleotide ribosomal RNA is filed under the name uncultured bacterium. Its description in RNAcentral is "partial 16S ribosomal RNA". It matches the Rfam family "Bacterial small subunit ribosomal RNA", at positions 28 to 507 of the family's 1533-position model. The record is from RNAcentral.
GAUGAACGCUAGCUACAGGCUUAACACAUGCAAGUCGCGGGGCAGCAUGGGGGUUGCUUGCAACCCCUGAUGGCGACCGGCGCACGGGUGAGUAACGCGUAUCCAACCUGCCCUUCACCACGGGAUAACCCGGCGAAAGUCGGACUAAUACCGUAUGUUGUCCAUUGACGGCAUCCGAUUUGGACGAAAGGCUUGGCGGUGUAAGGAUGGGGAUGCGUCCGAUUAGCUUGACGGCGGGGUAACGGCCCACCGUGGCUACGAUCGGUAGGGGUUCUGAGAGGAAGGUCCCCCACACUGGAACUGAGACACGGUCCAGACUCCUACGGGAGGCAGCAGUGAGGAAUAUUGGUCAAGGGGCGUAAGCCUGAACCAGCCAAGUAGCGUGCAGGAGGACGGCCCUAUGGGUUGUAAACUGCUUUUAUGCGGGGAUAAAGUGGCCCACGUGUGGGCUUUUGCAGGUACCGCAUGAAUAAGGACCGGCUAAUUCCGUG